RNAcentral lists this ribosomal RNA (775 nucleotides) under uncultured Neocallimastigales. RNAcentral's name for it is "partial large subunit ribosomal RNA". It matches the Rfam family "Eukaryotic large subunit ribosomal RNA", at positions 23 to 644 of the family's 3401-position model. Lineage: Eukaryota; Fungi; Neocallimastigomycota; Neocallimastigomycetes; Neocallimastigales. The record is from RNAcentral.
UAUGUGAUCGUCUCUUGCAUAUCAAUAAGCGGAGGAAAAGAAACUAACAAGGAUUCCCCUAGUAACGGCGAGUGAAGCGGGAAGAGCUCAAAUUUGAAAUCUUAAAGGGUUUCCCUUUACGAAUUGUAGUUUAAAGAAGUGUUUUCUGUUGAGGUUUUGGUAAAAGUUCUUUGGAAUAGGACAUCAUAGAGGGUGAGAAUCCCGUAUUUGACCUUUACUUUCAACUUUGUGAUACACUUUCAAAGAGUCGGAUUGUUUGGGAAUGCAGUCCAAAAUGGGUGGUAAAUUUCAUCUAAAGCUAAAUAUUGGCGAGAGACCGAUAGCGAACAAGUACCGUGAGGGAAAGAUGAAAAGAACUUUGAAAAGAGAGUUAAACAGUACGUGAAAUUGUCAAAAGGGAAGCGUUUGACACCAGUGUUGUUUUUCUGAAAACUCAAUUAAAGAACUGCUUAUGCUAAGUUGUUUAGACUUUAUCAGCUAACUGUUUAGUUUUGAGCUUUUCUUUAAUGCACUUUUCAGUUAACAAGUCAACAUCAAUUUCUUUUGCUGUAAAAAAGCUUGAGGAAGGUGGCUUGAGAUUCGUCUUAAGUGUUUAUAGCCUCUUGCCUAUGCAGUCGGAGAGAUUGAGGUCUGCAGCGUAGAUCCUUCGGGGCUAAAUGCAUUUGUGCUAAGUUAUAGCAUUUUACAGAUAACUUGUUGACUAUGAUUUGUCUUGUAGCUUACUCGCUUAUGUUAUUUUACCUACGCUUAGGAUGUUGACUGAUAUGUAGUCGUA